GGUCAAGCGAAUAAGAGCGCAGGGUGGAUGCCUUGGCACUAAGAGCCGAAGAAAGACGUGAUAAGCUGCGAUAAGCUACGGUGAGGAGCAAAUAUCCAUUGACCCGUAGAUUUCUGAAUGGGGAAACCCGGCAGGAGAAACUCCUGUCACUGUAUGGUGAAUACAUAGCCAUAUAGAGGGAACCCGGGGAACUGAAACAUCUAAGUACCCGGAGGAAGAGAAAACAACAGUGAUUUCCUAAGUAGCGGCGAGCGAACGGGAAAGAGCCCAAACCGGAAUGCGUGCAUUCCGGGGUUCGGACCACAGA
This 307-nucleotide ribosomal RNA is filed under the name human gut metagenome. Its description in RNAcentral is "bacterial LSU rRNA". It matches the Rfam family "Bacterial large subunit ribosomal RNA", at positions 1 to 312 of the family's 2925-position model. The record is from RNAcentral.